This is a long non-coding RNA of Oncorhynchus tshawytscha (Chinook salmon), 3505 nucleotides long. The record is from Ensembl. Lineage: Eukaryota; Metazoa; Chordata; Actinopteri; Salmoniformes; Salmonidae.
CAAAUCUUGUCAUCAUGUUCUUAUUUGAACAUUUUCAGAGAGAAUUCAAGAGAUUAGCAUGAGUACAUCAGAGAUGCUCUGACAGUUGACAGAGUAUUUUUGCUGUGGUUGUGUGUUUGGUAUUCAAAUAGAUCCCCUUUUGAUGAGUAAGCAAUAGCCCCACCCCUUUAAGAGAAGGGCUAAACUCAUAUGUGCAUAUUCUUAGUUGAGCAGGUUGCAAAGCAGCAAGUUGAUCUCUAACUUGCUCCCACUAAUAGCUGGAAUACUACAGACAGAUUGUAAACACACAACUUUCACAGCAGGGGUGUGCUAUUGCUGCUUUUACUCUGCCAUAGGAGUUGGCACAAGAUAAACAGUUUCUUCUGCAGGUAUCAACUGCGAUCAAGAUGGGCAAUGAGCAUUCUAAAAACAAGGCUGAGCAGGCUCCAGAAAAGCCCCUGCAUGGAGGAUUGAAUGGCCAUGCUGUAAGCAUCUCAUCCAAUGGCCUGGAGAAUGUUAUCAGUGAAGCAGCUGUGGAGCAGAACAGUAUGCCUCCCUCACUGCCUCCCUCUGAAGAGUCAGGUAUAGUGGAGGCAGAUGGCAGUGGUCUUGGGCCUGUGGUGGUGGAACAGAAGUCUGCCAUCAAGGAGGUUCCAGAAGUGGAACCAGAGACACAGAAUGCUAAGACUCAAAACACACCGGAACCAGAACUGGAACCAGCCACCCAAGAGAAGGAGGAGCCCAAGAACAGUACGAAAGAAAAAGUGAACAUCUUUGAAAAUCUGUUCAAGAAGAAAGCUAAGCCUCAACCCACCCCCAACCCGGAUCCAGCCCUGGAAAAGGAGGAAACCAUAAAGGACAAGAUUGUGGAGGAGAUUGAAAGUUCUGCAGAAGAUCAGAAAGUCCCUGUGGCUGUGACCGAUGGGAUCCAAGCUGAGCCACUUGCUGAGGUAAAGGAGGAUACAGAGACUUCAAAGGAGCGUCCCAACCCUAGUCCAGAGGCAGAGGAGGUCAAAAGCCCCAAAAUUGCAGAGGAAAGCAGUCACAUUCAGGAAAACCAAGAGGGAGAGAGUCAAACAGAAGAGAAUCCAGUUAUGAACUUCUUCAAAACACUAGUGACUCCCACAAAAAAAAACAAGCAAGAAACAGCCACCCCUGCUGUUGCAAAAGACCAGAAAGAGGCCCAACCAACAACAACAACUACUGCUGCACAACUAGUGGAUGCUCCAGCAACAGCCAAAGGAGGAAUGUCAAUCCCACCAGCCCCAGCCCCAGCCCCAUCCCCAGCCCCAGCCCCAGCCCCAGCCCCAGCCCCAGCCCCAGCCCCAUCCCCAGCCCCAGCCCCAGCCCCAGCCCCAGCCCCAGCCCUAGGCUCAUGUAAGAUGGAGGUUAAAGCAGAACUAGCUGCCCAAUCUGUGACCAACACACCAAACGAAGAACCAAAGGGUGCUGCCAAAGAACCAGAGGCCGCCAAGCCGAAAUCUGACCGCCCGUUCAGCAGACUUUUCAGCAGAAAGAAUGUAGACUUCUCAAAGACGGCCACUCUGGAGGCCUCUGCCACACUAGAACCACCACCACCAGAGGAAGAGAAGACACCUGCUGCCUCCAAAGCCUCUCCUUUCACUUCCUUUUCUCUUUUCAAGACAAAGGCAGCUGUGCCAAAAAAGGAAGUCCCUGCCCUAGCUGCAGAAGCGGUAGUUGAACCAAGUGUAGCCAAGGACGAACCAAAGGCCCCAGAGGACCCUGCUGUGGACAGCAAGCCCGUGUCAGAGCCCUCCGAGGUUAUGGAGAAUUCCCCCGUCCUCCCUAAGAGACUGGAGAAGAGGAACUCCAUCCACUUGUUCUUCAAAAACCUGGGCAAACGCCAGUCAGAUGCAGGAGUACAAACAGAACCAGAGAAGACCAAAUAAAACAGAAACACCCUUUCAAACAUCACAUGCCAUAUCUGGAAAUGAACUUUUGAUUUGUUAGAUACAUUAUGUUUCUGAUCACACUAUUGAUGUGGUAAGAGCAAGUGGUUUGAGGGAGAGAGGUGGACUGUGGACUAGUCUGUUCUAGUCUAAUCUUUGUGGACAAUUUCAGAGAAUUGUUCUUUGUGGAGGAGGUAAAUAUAUUUUCUGGUUUUAAAGGCUUGAUAGGUAGAGAAAAGUGGUUUUGUAACAUAUACUGAGAGCAAAAUCAAUUUUCUAUACAGUAUGUACCCUUCUUUUAACAUACAUGUCAAACUCAUUCCACGGAGGGCUGAGUGUCUGCUGGUUUUUGUUCCUCCCUUGAUUGAUUAAUUAAGGUCACUAAUUAGUAAAGAACUCCCCUCACCUGGUUGUCUAAGGUCUUAAAAACGAAACACUCGCAGACACUAAGCCCUUCAUGGAAUGAGUUUGACAUCCCUGCUUUAACAUAUUAAUGUGUAAGGAUCUAAUGCAAAUAUUACGUUUAGCAUAUUUUUUUCCCUCUAUACGCAAUUUACUAGUCUGAAAAUAACUUGUGGAGUGCAUACAAUGGUUUCAGAUACAUUCAUAGGACGUCUUGGAGAAGAGAUGCAUAAAGCUUAGCUUGGAAUAGAGAGAUAGUAAUGGAAUAUACUCCAAAUGUAAUGGAGGAGUUGGUGAAAUGGUGGAUAUUCCUGCCAAGAUGUUUUUAUUUAGGCUAGACACAUGCAACUUACAAUGUAGGCUUUAAACUUUGCAGGAACUGUACACGGAUGCAAAUAUAUGCCAAACACUAAAUUACAAUAUAUGAUUAUAAUCAUACACAGGGGGACCUCACAAUCAUUACUUUUUUUGGGAACUACACAGAUCAUCUGGUAGUCUAUAUAGCUAACUGCACAGUCAUGAAUCAUAUUUGAUUAACGUUUCACUGAAGUAUAAAGGUUUGUUCUAAUUUGAGUGCACUGCUUUACAUGUGUGUGCCUGUUUGAAUGCAGAUGUUAUAAUCUUGGGUAUCUUGUCUGUUAAUUUCUGCACCUAUAAUUUGAUAAACUGGAUCUGGAAGUAGAAUAUUUAUUGUGACAGCAAUUUCCGAAUCAUGACAACCUGCAAUGGGGUAUAUGGGGGGGUUCUACUGAGCUAACAUGGAUUUUUUUUUAAAGAUCAUACCAUGGAUCCUUUAGCUAUUUAAUUUUUCAUUGGGGUAAAAUAUUGAAUUUGGCCUUUUAAUGCUACAACCUAUAGAAAUGCAUUGAAUAACACACUCAUAAAUGGCAAAACAGAGUACAAAAAUAAAUAAUAAGGAAUAUGUUUUUGAAUUGUCUGUCCUACAUCUAGGAGAUGUAAUAAAGUUCAGGAUUUACACAUUUAACCCAUUUUUUGGGGUGUCACAAAACUACUUCUAUAUUUGUUUUUAUGUUAAUUAGAUUGACGCACGGGUGCGUUGAUCAACUUUAGGGGUAUUUAAAGCUAUUUUUUUCUGUAACUGUUAAGAGAAUAAAUGUAUACAAUUAUAUGUUUUCUUGUUUUCUAUCUCACAAUUUAGGCCAAAAGCUAUCAGUAUAGGGAAAUAUGAAAACAUAUUUAGACUGGAAUUAAAU